UACGUAGGGGGCUAGCGUUGUCCGGAAGCAUUGGGCGUAAAGCGCGUGUAGGCGGUCCGGUAAGUCCGCUGUGAAAGUCGGGGGCUCAACCCUCGGAUGCCGGUGGAUACUGUCGGGCUUGAGUACGGAAGAGGCGAGUGGAAUUCCUGGUGUAGCGGUGAAAUGCGCAGAUAUCAGGAGGAACACCAAUUGCGAAGGCAGCUCGCUGGGACGUUACUGACGCUGAGACGCGAAAGCGUGGGGAGCGAACAGG
This 253-nucleotide ribosomal RNA is filed under the name uncultured bacterium. Its description in RNAcentral is "partial 16S ribosomal RNA". It matches the Rfam family "Bacterial small subunit ribosomal RNA", at positions 524 to 776 of the family's 1533-position model. The record is from RNAcentral.